This 485-nucleotide ribosomal RNA is filed under the name uncultured bacterium. RNAcentral describes it as "bacterial SSU rRNA". It matches the Rfam family "Bacterial small subunit ribosomal RNA", at positions 28 to 514 of the family's 1533-position model. The record is from RNAcentral.
GAUGAACGCUAGCGGGAGGUUUAAUACAUGCAAGUCGUACGGUAAGAUUCCUUCGGGAAUCCUAGAGUGGCGAACGGGUGCGUAACACGUAUGCAAUCUACCCUUAUCUGGAAGAUAGCCCUCCGAAAGGAGGAUUAAUAUUCCAUAAUAUUAUGAGGCGGCAUCACCUUAUAAUUAAAGCUCCGGCGGAUAAGGAUGAGCAUGCGCCCCAUUAGCUAGUUGGUGAGGUAACGGCUCACCAAGGCAACGAUGGGUAGCUGGUCUGAGAGGAUGAUCAGCCACACGGGCACUGAGACACGGGCCCGACUCCUACGGGAGGCAGCAGUAGGGAAUAUUGGGCAAUGGAGGCAACUCUGACCCAGCCAUCCCGCGUGCAGGAUGAAGGAUCUAUGGUUCGUAAACUGCUUUUAUCAGGGAAGAAAAGCUUGAUUUAUCAAGAACUGACGUACCUGAUGAAUAAGCACCGGCUAACUCCGUNCCAGCAC